GGAGCGGAGACUCCUAUGCCCAGAAGAGAUCGUACCUUGGCUGAAAAAUCCAAACCCGGGCGAAGGUCCACAUUGGAGAGAACCAUGGCUGAAAAAGACUGGAGAAGGAGAGAGGGGAGGGGAGGUGGUGUUGGACGCCGGGGCCGGAGUGGACACCGGUGGGGGGAGGGGUGCAAGGUGCGUGAGGAAGAAGAGACGGUGGACGCUGGGGCCGGGAUGGCCAUCGGCGGCGAGAGGGAGGGGUGCUCAGGCGCUCAAGCGCACAGGCGCGCGCUCUGGCCCAUCAUAUUGUGAUUACAUGCUCUCCAGUUUCAGAACUUGCUGCACUGGCUCGGCCUCCAUGCUUACGUCAUCAUCAUUGCUGGUGCCAGGAUCAUAUCGGCCUGAUCGGCCGAUUCCCUCGAACUUUGAGAGGAUUAUUUUCACCUUGUCAGUUGAAUGGUCAAACUGACUGUCAGGCCCACGUAUACCACACACGCCGAUCUACAACCUGUACUUGAGCGAAGCAGAACACUCAGGUUUCGUGUGUUAGUACGUGAAGGUCACUGCACGAUUUUUGCGUCAACACACUUUUGGCACGCCUGGUGGGACAGAAAUAUCAAAGGGAAAUUAGUCAAGUACAAGUGUUAUCGAUCAUCGGAUUAUUGGUGGCCGCCUGCUUGUGUUUCUAUCAGUAAUAGUGCUCUAGCUGAUGAGAGUAGUGCCAGAGGAUUUUGAGCCGAUGAUUGAGAAUUCAUUGGAAUAUAAUAAGAAGGGAAUGUGUCAGCAAGUCUUGUGUUCAGCAGCCGAUGGAACGAUAGAGAAGACCUUUGAGUUUUACUGGUAGCCAAUGAAUGUUCUGUGGCAUGUUGCACAGCCGAUGAAGCUAAAUUCCAGCUACUGAUAUGACAGAAAGCUCUUCCGGCCGAUGAGUAGUUUCGGAAAGUAGGGAAAAUGAAUUCUUCCACACAGAGACAUCAAGGUAUUGUCAGUGUUAUUAUAUCAGCUAUUAAUUUCGAAGCAUGAAACAUUCAUACUCCGAAAUUAGGGGGGCCUACACGUUGACAACAAAACUUGUUGGUUACUGCACCAAGUUUUGGUGUCCAUAGACUGAUCUGUUGUUUCCACUGCCAGCGAAUUCAUCAGCUCAUAGUGGGAUCAAGGUAUCAAGACGAUGGGAUUCUUUAUAUUUCAAGAGAAGUCGAUGCGGCUUUGAAUAUUGCAAUCAGACAUCAUUGGCUCCAAAGACAGGCAUCGGACCUCUAUAAUUAGUUUCGAAACAUGAAGCCUUCAUACUCAGAAACUGGGGGGGCCUGUGUUAACACCAAAAUUUGGAAAUAUGCUCUGGAAAGAAGGAAUCGGCCGAUGAUGCGGAAAAAUGACAAAAUCUCCUAAAUAAGGCUAUUUGCGAGAUGGCCGCAAAAAUCAGGAACAUGUGCAUGAAGAAAGAGAAAGCAAUAAAGCAAGAGGAAUAAAAGAAGGAAAUCAACGCACACAUGUACACGACAAGAGUGCCAACAGUUUGGCAUCCAAAGGAUUGUCUUAUAGAAUAAAAUAUUCUGGAAAUAGAGUUGGUUAGGGAUAAGCUUGAUUAGAGAUAGAGUUGGAUUAGUUAGAAAUAGAGUUUUGAUUAGAAAAGAUUGUGUACAUGACUUGCCUUGCACGUGGUUAGAUGCCAACUAUGUAACAUCAAAGGCCAUCCGCCCUAUAAAUAUAAAGGGUCGUGGCCAUUGUAAGACAUCACACGAUCAAUACAACAUAUUUACCUUUACGCAUCUACCUUUCGGCAUCACGCCAUUGCCCUAGGAGUAGGAGUAAUAUAGCUUCUCGACGAGUUCCUUCUAGCAAGCUGGGCUGCAUCAACCUCGAUCUCCAGCAAGCUGCAAGUUCUCAUCAUCAGGUGUACUAGACUUCAACUUCCGGCGUAUCGCUAUCGUUGGGUCUGGUUUCAUCUACCAGUUAUCGAGUAUCUUGGAUCCUUGACUUACGGCGCACCACUUCUGUCUCGAUCUACGAUAUUCACCAGUUAUCCUACCUUGAUUAAGUUUGCAUCGGCUGAUAUUUAUCUAUUCUAUCAUCUUACCGUCUAGUUUGUUUUAAUUAGCUCUAGAUCAUAUCAUCGUAGACGAUAGAUCACUUAAUAAACUAUUGCAUCUUAAUCUUAUUUAUCCCUCGAGUGCUGUUGGAAUUGAGUUCCAUUGUUAUUGGAUUCAUCGGUUGGCGGGGUUUAAAUUGACAUCCUGCCAAGUGUUUCUAGGCUGCAACUACCGGGCGCAUCGCUGUGGUUUCACCUAGAGAUAUUGGUAAUGAUGUUAGUUUGAAUCUCGAUUGCUUGUGACUCUGGCUAUGGUGGAGCGAGACCUCGAUGGAGCUCUAUUUCAUAUUGGCUUUCUAGCCGAUGGUUUUUGCUAUAUUAUGGUGAAUCAGCUUGGAUAGCCGAUGAGAUACCCACGCUCAUCAAGAUACUGGAAUCAGCUUCAUAGCCGAUACAUUUAUUCACCAUGCUUUAUUUUUCUACGUCGUCGUCAUCGCUGGUGCCAGGAUCAUAUCGGCGUGAUCGGCCGAUUCCCUCGAACUUCGAGAGGAUUAUUUUCACCUUGUCAGUUGAAUGGUCAAACUGACUGGCACGCCCGCGUAUACCACGCGCGCUGAUCUACAACCUGUACUUGAGCAAAGCAGAACUCUCAGGUUUCGUGUGGUAGUACGUGAAGGUCACAACACAAUUUUUGCGUCAACACACUUUCUGAAACCCAUACAUCCGAAACCCAUACUGAGGCUAUUCCUUUGUAUUUCUCCAGUAAUUUAACUAUGUCUUUGCACCAUAAUGAGUCUUUUUGUUUAUGUCCAAGCAAUUUCCCAUUAUAAUAAUAGUUGUCUUAGACUAAAUGUACCCAUGGGAUAUCUACCUUUGUGAAGACCUUAUGGAGGAACUUGAGCAGGAGAGCCUCAUUUUGGCUAUUUAGAUUAAUGACUCCAAGUCUUCAUUGCUGUUUGGGCAGGCAUACCAUAUGCCAGGCCGUCUUUGAUGGCUUUUUAGAUCACAAGUCAGAUCCUCACCAAAGGCAAUGCUUCCUGUAUUUGUCCAGUUGAGAGAUGACCCCUUGUGAAGCUCUAGUUCUAGUUUGCCCCCGUGGAAUAGCAUGUUGGAGAUACCCCCUAACCUUCUCUCCACUUUCUUGAUUAGGGGUAGAAAUUCCUCAAUAUUAGGCUUUGUUGUUCCUAGUGUGAGUCCCAGGUAAGUGAAAGGAAGGCUUCCAACCUGACAGUCAAAACUGAUGAGAGUUGUUGUAGUUUUUCCUCGGGAGUAUUCAGGGGGGACCAUAACAUAUUUGUUGUAAUUGACCUUAAGUCCUGUUGAGUUUGCAAAAAGGUUUAGCAAAUGCUUUAGAUACAGCAGCUGAACUGGGUUGGCUUCCAUGACCAGUAAGGUAUCAUCUGCGUAUUGGAUAACUAGGAAAUCUAGACCAGCUCUUUCAGGUAUUGGCAAUUGUAAGCUUCCUUCCUCUUUGGCCUUAUUCAAAAUAGAUUGAAGGAGGUCCGCUGCUAGCACAAAGAGGAGUGGAGACAGCGGAUCCCCUUGCCUGACCCCUCGUCUAUAGUGGAAGACUUUCCCUGGUACUCCAUUGAGUAGAAUUGAGGAUGUUCCAGAACCGAGGAUGUCCUUAAUCCAUACUAUCCAUCUAUUCCCAAAGCCCUUGCAUUUUAGGAUGUCCAAGAUGGCUUGGUGUUCUAUUCUGUCAAAUGCCUUCUCGAAGUCAAGCUUGAGAAUGAUGAGCUCCUUCUUGGAAGUCUUACAAAUGUGUAGAUAUUCAAAUGCUCAGGCUAAACAAUCUUGAAUAGAUCUGGAUUUUAUGAAACCAUAUUGGUUCUGAUGCACUAGUCUUAGGAUGAUUAUCUGAAGCUGUUCUGCUAGGAUCUUGGUUAUUAGCUUGAUGGUUGAGUUAAGGAGGGAGAUAGGUAUGGUCUGAAAUCUCCAACUUCCAUGGGGCGAUCUUUUGGGGGGAUGAGUGUGAUGUAGGAGGCAUUGAUACUUUGCACACAUACUCUUUUUUCAUAGAACCCCUCACAUAACUCAUAGAAGUCUUCUGCAAUUACCUGCUAGCAUGUCUUAACGAAUUCCCCAUUGAAGCCAUAUGGGACUGGUGACUUGUUGCUUGGAAGAUCCUUGAUAAUUUGGUCAAUUUCUUCUUUUGAGAAGGGAGCUUCCAGCCAUUCUAAAUCCAGAACUGGUGUCAAAAGAGAGGGGAGUUCAAAGUACAUGUGGGUAAUUAAGAUCUCCUCAUCCUUUCUUCGUAAGCUUCCCAAAGGAGCGAGUUUUAGCUUCAUGAUCGGAGAAAGACUGCCCAUUGGCAUAUGUUAGUGAGGAGAUGUAAUUGAUCCUAUUUCAGACAGAGGCCCGAGCAUGAAAAAAUCUUGUACUUUCAUCCCCUAUUUUUUGCCCAGUUAAUAGAGCUUGUCUGCUGCCAAUAGACCUUCUGUUGAUGAAGAAGGCUAUUAAGAUGUGAUGAUAUGAUUUCCCAAAAGUUCCACUCCUGCAGGGUGAGGUAUCUAGUUUCUUCGAUGAUAUCUAAGAACUGCAGGACAUCUUUUGUGUUCUGAAUUAUUUUGGCCAAACUGGGAAGUUGAGACUUCCAAGUCCCGAAAACCUUUCUCAUGUUUUUGAAUUUGGCUCCUAUGUUCUUUGCCUUGUCGGAGCUGGGAAAAGGUGACACCCAUCCUUGUUGGAGAUUGAAAGGGAAUUGAUCAUGCUCUAGCCAGUAGUUCUCAAAACGGUAGACAUGUGGUGUUGGUAGGCUAUUAGAGAUUGACACAAGGCAAGGGAUAUGAUCCGUUGAGUCCCUGGAUAACGAGGAGGUAAAGGUGUUGGGAUAAGUUAUAAUCCAAGAGAUAGAGAUAAAAAAAACCAGUCUAGUCUCUCCAGCAAGGGGUUGAUUUGUUUGAUGGACCAAGUGUACUUGCAACCUUUAAGUUGUAUCUCUGUUAACCUAAUCCUACUAAUUGCUUCGUUGAAGAGAAGCAUUUCCUGAACAUUUCCUCCCAGGUUGUUUCUAUCCUCUGGUUUCCUGAGAAGAUUGAAGUCCCUAACUAUUAGCCAUUUUUCAUCCUCAGGCAUUUCUAUCCAUUUGAACCAAUCUAUAAAAGACAUCUUCCCCUCUGGGGUGCAAGGAGCGUAAAUAUUAGUGAGGAUCCACCUGUCUCCCAAUAGCUUGCAUUGUAGUUCAAUGGAAUGAGCAAAGUUGUUUUGGAAGAUAGGCUCACCCUUGAGCUUGGAGCCAUUCCAUGAUAUUAGAGUGCCCCCUGAGUUACCAGUGGAUGGGAGGAAGUCAAACAGAUCUAGUUGGGGGUGGCAGAAAUUCCGGACAUAUCUUGCGUCAAAAGAUUCUCGUUUAGUCUCCUUUAGACAAACAAUAUUGCAGUUGGACUUAGAAAUUUUACUUUUGAUUGUGUUGCAUCUUGUCUGGGAGUUGAUGCCCCUAACAUUCCAGGAUAACAUGUUCCAGGAUCAUUUCUGGUUCAUUUGGAAAGGGUGUGUGCUUGGUAAUACCUCACUACCGGCUCAACAAAUAGUGUGAAAAUAAGUGUGGAAAGGAGAAUCCUUGAAUUGAAAAGCCAAAAAUGAGGGGAUUAACCCCUCAGAUUCUUUGAAGCAAGACAACCAAAAUAAGGUAAAUCCCACAUUAACCUAACAGCAAAAUAACUGUUCCUAGGAAGUUUAAACACCAACAUAAUAUCAUUUGCAACAUAAAGAUAAAUGAAAGAUAGUUGUCUUCACUAAAAUAGACCAGAUGCAAGAUCCAACCAUGUCCCAGAUUAUAGUACUUCUUGACUAUAUCCCUGGCGUUGUCUGUUUUGGCCUGAUAUUUCUACACUUUCCCCUUGUGUGGAAUAUCCGUCGAGGCCUUUCCCUUUCCAUCUCCAAUGGUCUUCUGAGAGGCGGGCUUAGAGAUUAACAGAUCAUCAGUGGUUCAGGCAGAGUCGAUGCCACACACCUGCCCACCUAGGUCUUGAAUGCUUGAAGAAGAGAGUGAUGGUGGCGUUGCGUUGCAAGCGAGGCAGUUUCUAUCCUGGCAAGUUUUUUUGUGAAAUCCUCCACUUCUGUCUUUGAGCCUAUUGCUUCUCCCGACGCUGGACUCAACUACCGGCACAGCCCUUGCUCCCAAUCUGGCCCUAGAUUUCUUUAGGGCCUUUUCUUCUUCUUGCCCAGGGUCUGAUUCCUUCAGAGGAGAAAAAAUACCGGUCUCCUCCUGCUCAUUAAGACAAAUAACUGGGCUGCUACUGGGGCACAAAGAGCGGAUGGUGAAGGCCAUCAUGGCAGAUAAAUCAGCGUAGCUUAGUAAUGCCUCCUAGACUCUGGAGGCUAGGAACUUCUUGGCCCAAUCGAAGUGUUGGGGGAUAGCAACAUCACCAUGAAGAAAGCGUCCCAAUAUGUUGGUAUGUGAACCACCUGCUCAGGAUAUCCUACAGGAGAGAAAAACUGGGCCCAAAGCCUGUAGACAUUUGGAUUUUGACAUGGAGCUGAGGCCCUGGGGGUGGUAAUGUCCUUGAUGCUAGGUCCAUCUGUCAGAGGAACUGAUUGUCUUAGUCUACCCAAGAGAAGGUCCAGGUCAUGUGUGUUUGGUUGAACUAGGGUGAGGACUAUGUUGACAUUAAGAUAAACCUGAAAAGGGGCCUCCUUGGCUUGAUUUGGCAAAAUGCCCUGCUGUCCUGGGGGAUGGUAGGCAACCCCAGCACCACAUCCUGAUCCAUCUCCAUAUCAUUGAGCUGAGCCCCAGCCUGUUCUACAUGGAAGUCCAUAUUUUGCCCCAAUGGGGGACUGCAGCCACCACAUCAUCCAAUGGCUCGGUGGGUCUUACAUGAUAGCUUGUGGAACCCUUGCAUUGUAGAUCACCACUGGAAGAGGAUAGUUGUCAGGAGCUGAAGAGCUCGAGGAGUUGGUUGGAGGAGACAUGUUAAGGUGAAGAUCCAAUUCAACAGCUUGUUCCUCCUCAUUAUGCAGGGCCUUAGCUUCCUCCUAGAGAAUAUCCAAGAGUUCCUCAUUAUUGAUCUUAUCAUCUUCUAUCACAUUUUCAGUCUCGAAUAUCAAGCACAGAAUUGGCAUUAAUAUUAGGGAUGCCAGGAUUGUCAAGAUUUAUCUACCCUUCUUAGUUGUCCAAGGCCAUUGGCUGUGGGUGAGGAAAAGCUUGCACAUUCUGUUGACCUUGUGGCUGGAUGGCAGGGAAUAAGAAAUUAUCAUUCAGACCCCCUGGGCGAUGUCUUCAUCUUGAAGCUGGCCUCCCAAGAUGUUUUGCUACAAAAUUUCACACUGAACCAUCCACGAGACUCCUUCAUAAUCAUCCCCUUCAAAUACGAUGAGAUAGUGGGGAGUGUCAAUCAAGUCAGUGACGCUAGCUUUGAUGAUUACCCUAGAUAAUACAUUAUCCUUCUGCCAUAGUAUCAUUCUCCCAAAAGACAUGAUGGAGUCCUCAAUUUCUGCUGCAGAACAACUGUCAGUUGGGAAUCCAAUUACCAUGAGCUAGCAUUCCUUGUUGAACCCCACACACCUCGCAUUGGCACCUCUAUUGUGUUGCACAAAAGAAAAACUAAGGCCUUGAUGGAAAUGCGGGCUGUGAUAUAUCAGAGCAUCCCUAUCCAAGGGGCGGGCCAUUCGCACAUAAGGUUGCCCCCUACCAAAUGGACAUCUCUGCACUUCCUUUACUUCCAAGCCAUAAUCCCCAACAAUAAGGUCCAUAAUAGAAUGCCAGAGAGUGCCAAAGAGGACCUCACCAGGGGAGAGGUUGGCAACUAUGACGAUUGCUAGGUCUUCGCUUCUUGGGGUUGUCUGAGGAAUGACCACUUGACCUGCUGCCUUUCUUGCACUAUGACACGGUUGAAGCCUGGGAGCAUCAUCGGCUCUGGGUCAAUAUUGAGGAAAGCCGUCAUGUGCUCUUCUAUGGAGUUCUCUUGGUGACAAUGGAGAAAGCCCUCAAAAGUUGGGAGGGAACUUUUGUGAGGUAGGGGAUGAUAGUGGAUCCGAAGGGGCAGGAGGGAGUGAUGGCUGCAUUUCCUCUCAGAAACUGCGACAAGUUAUGAAGGCAGGUGAAGAUCGGUGGGCCGCUUGGGCUAGGCCCAGCAACCGGGGGUGGGCUUGCCUUGAACCAAGUGCUGGAGCAAUCCAGAGGCCAACCAGUAGUGGUGAUGCCUGGGGAGAAGUUACAGCCAAAAGUUGUACCGCAGUGGUUAAUAAACCUUUGGAGACCAUGGUAAAGUAUGCAAUCAUUAACAAUAUGUCCCCCUUGUUUGCAGUGCCAGCAUAUUAUAAGAUUUGUACAAGAGGAUCUUAGGUGGUUGGGGCCUAGACACUAGGAACAGGAGAAACCCGGGUCAACUUGCAAAGCAAGCUGCUGAGGCACAAAACUUUUCAGCCCAUGAACCGAGGGGAGCCUUCUGCCCAAUUGAUCUUGUUGGUUUGAAGAUUUGAAAUCCAGCCGUUGAAAGACCGACUUUCUGUUGUGACCCCAACUUCGGGAAGAAAUCCUUUGAAAUCUAGUCCUCAAAGAAGAAUGAUGAUCCAUGGGCAAAAAAGUCCUUUUUGGACCAAUGGGAACCAUAUUUGCACCUGUGAGAGGAUAAUGAUCCCCACCAUCUAGGGUGGGAUUUCCAGACUUAACCACAUCAGCAAAAGAGGGAGAAUUCCUCAGCCUCAGAGAAGAAAAUUGGCUUAAUGAAUGCCCAGCAGAUUGCAAUGAAUGACCUAAAUGAAAUCCAGAGGUCUCAGGGAGACUUUCACGUCCAUUAAUAGGGGCCAAGCAAAAACCAGAAGAUCCAGGGUUUGAAUACUGCACAAAUUUACCCUUCCUAGGAUGAACAAAUUCCCACUGGAAAGAAGGUCUAGAGUCUUUUUUGGAGAAGGACAGAGCUCUAGCAAAGCCUGAGUUGUUAUGCAGGAAGAAACCCAGAUUGAAAGCAUCACAAGAGAAGGUCUAGAGAUCUAGGCAGAGAAAACCCACAUGCUUCAAACACAAAGAAAACCUGAAGACUUGCUGAUUCAUCUGCGAAAUAUUGAACCUACGAGCGUCCCCUCCAAGGAUGGCCUUGUCACACCCUAAAAUUUUCGAAUUUCAGGAUGUGAUUAAAAAGGAAAAUUAAACAAUGAUUUUUUGAUCAUUUUAAAAUUUUACCAACAUUUAUUUUUCUUUACAGGAAAUUCAAUAUAGGAAAAAUAAUUGUUUGUUUUUCGGAAUUAAACAAGGUUGUUGUGUGUCUGUGCAUUCACGCCGAUACAUCUUGAUGUUUCUUGAAUGAAAAAGUUUUAAAAAUGUGUUUAGAUGCUGUCCAAGUUUUUCUGAGAAUUUUCCAGUUUUCCUGUAAUUUAUUCUCCUUUUCCCUGAGCUAAAUCCAAUUUUUGGAUGGUUCCAAAAUCCUUUUCUUGAGCUCCAAAUAUUUUAUUUUUGUUCCUCAUGUCUCUUUCUAUCUAUGGGUUUUUCCUAGAAUUUUUGGGAGUUUCUAAAUAUUUUUCGUGCUCCAAAAACAUUAUCUAGAGUUUCUAGAUUUGUUUUUGCACUGGAAAUGUUUAUUGAAAUUCUAAAUAAAUCCUUUUCCAUCGGGCCGGCCUUUUCUCCCGCACCGGCCCAUCUCCUCUCACCGGCCCGGCCUGUUUCCUCUCCUCUCUUCCUUCUCUUUUCUAUUCUUUUUUUUCCGGCAUCGGCCUACCUCCCUUUUCUUUCCAUCGGCUCGGCCCAGCUGCCCUCACCUGGCCAGGUCGGCCCAUCAGCUCUCCCUCUCUCCCUCACACCGACAGGUGGGGCCCACCUGUCGGGCUCAUCUUCAAGCUUCGGCCGGCCGUUCCCCUGCUGCAACCACGCCGCGCCACCUGGCAUCCUGCGCCCGCUCGCCCUCCCGGCGACCCUCCAUCCCUCGCGCGCCCCUCGUUUCCUCUCCCGAAACGGCCUCUCCACCACCGGGUCCCAUUCAUAACCGCCGCCCUUCCGUUUCCCCUCCGCUUCCUCUCCAGUAACAGACCCCCCACCAAGCCGCCAUGAAUGACCGACGCCCCUUUACUCCUCCACCAACGCCGCCUCAACUCCCUCCUCCGCCCCUAUAAAUUGAACGCCCAGACUCCGGUUUUCCCUGUUGCUUGUCUCGCCGGACUCCUCGUUCGCCCGCACCAAACUACCGCCACCGCCGCCGCCAUUCUUGCUCGCUGCCGGCAUGUUUUCGGGCGAUGCCGUGCCCCUUCGCCGCCGGUUAGCAGGUGCAACAUCACCUCGACGUCCUCCUCCUUUUGGCGCCGCUCGCCCGUGCCUCCGCCGUGCCGGAGCGCCAUCAGCCACCGGCCAGGACCGCCCCUGUGCGCCGGCUGGGAAGAAAUCAUGAGCUUGAAGAAGAGAUAAGGUGGCCGAUGAAACCCCUGAAGAAUCCUGUAAAUCUCUAGCUUCCUCUUUGUGUCUUGCCACAUUCAUGCAAAACCCCUUAAACUUUUCAGUUUCAUUCAAUCUGAUCCAAGCCUUGUCUUUUUGCAGAUCUACCCUUGAACUUUCAGCUUCUCACAAGCCUGUACCCUGUUCCUUGGUAAUCUUCCUUGCUAACCCUUGUAAUCUACGGGUAAUCGCGUUUUAGUCCUUGGAACCCUGUAGUUUUGACGUUUUAGCUCCGCUUUAAUCCGUUCAAGUUGCGUAAGGUUCAUAAUAGCAUAAAGUACACGUUAGUAUUGUUGUUAUCCUACAUUUCAUAUCUUUUAAAAUAAAUUUAGUAUUAAUUUGAUUAAUGCCUAAUAAACGUACGUCUUUCCUAAAUAAAAGUCACCAAGAGUUAUAUACUAUUUUUUAUAAUGAAAAUUAAUUUGAUUAAUGACUACUUUAUAACCUUUCUAAAUAAAAGCCAAUUAGGAUAUACAACAAUUUUUCAUAAAUAAUGUUAACCUAAUUAAGGCUUAUCUACAUGUUUCUUCCAAUUAAAAGCUAUUUAGAGGAAAACCUCACUUUUUAUAAAUCAAAUUUAAUUUGAUUAAUAUUUAUUCAAUUUGCUUUCUAAAUAAAAGCUACAUAGGUUAUCACUCGAAUUUUCAUAAUGAAAAGUUAAUUUGGCUAAUAUAAAUAUAAAUGUGUUUUAAUAUAAUAUGCUUAGUUGAACUCGAAAUAUAAAGUUAUACGCUUAGAUGCUUUUACACGCUUCUUAUAAAAUUAAAUGUUUAACUUUCUUAAAUUGUACUUAAAUAUUUAUAAAUAAAAUUUGACUAGGCUCUAUAUCGUCUUUCUCAUAUAAAUAAAUAUAAAUUGAUUAAUUCCAAAUAGGAUAUUUCUCUAAAAUAACCUAUGUGCGUGUUUUAUUUAAUUAAAAUGGACCAAGCAUAUAGUCUUUUUAUUUCUUUGAUAAAUCAAAUCCCUCGAUAGUUCGUUUUAAGCGUUUCUUGCGUUUGCAUGACCCUUAGAUCGAGCCUUAUCCUUUAGUACGCUGUUUUAAAGCCUUUCUUUUGUUUUGGUGUAUUGUUCUUAGUUGCUCUUGUUGUUUGUUGUCGAUGUUUGCUUCGAUAGAAGGAUCGUCGUUCGAAGCUUUGAAGAUAAAGAGUUUCAAGAAAGCAAGAACCGAAGAGCAAUAAGAGUAACUUAUCGUUGGAGAAAGGCAAGUGUCCCAAACCAUCCUUUUACCUAUGCUUUGUUCACAGUGUUAUGAUAAUCUUAAUUGGAACAUGGAGAACCACCCAAGAAAACAGUACAACCACAACAUCACAUGGCUUUGAUCUUAGCCGACUAAUUAGGCAUGUGGUUGACUAGUGGCCUUACUGAAAGGGCAAGGAGGGGGAAGGUGUCGGGGGUAUGACCCGGAGCAGUAGCCUUCUAAGGUGCUGACUCAUUACAACGGGUUGUGACCCACAUCGCUACUGAAACUCUAGCGGGCUACUAGUUAGCUAUGUGUCUUUGUAAAAGCUUUGUAGUGGACCCCCAGCCACUCACCAAAGGAAGUGUUUAAGGGCUUUGCAAACCCGGGCAAUACGGGGAACACGAGUUGUGGGUAAAGUGUACAACCUCUGCAGAGUGUAAACUGAUAUAUCAGCCAUGCUCACGGUUAUGAGCGGCUUGGACCCUCACAUGAUUAAUUAAACUUGAAGAUGGACUUAAAUCAUUAAUUCUAGUUAUUUCUUAUGGUCUUGCUGAGUACCAACCAUAAGUGUACUCACCCUUGCUUACUGCUGCUCAGAAGAAGAAGGUGUCGAAGUUCUGAAGAUGGUGUUGAGUUCUAGGCAUACGCAACCUCCAGUCGAGUGCCUGUGAAGUUUGGAGCCUUCGUUUCCAGAGUUUAAGCUGUGUUUCUCUGAUAGUCUUGUAAGUUUUUUUGUAUCUUUUUGUGUGAUACUGUUACUGUUAUUCACUAAUGAUAUCACUAUAUGUAUGAAACUUGAUCCUGACAUAAAUAUAGGUAGCACUUGGUUUUGUUUUAAAACCAGGUGUGACAGAAGUGGUAUCAGAGCUGUAUCGACUGUAGGACGUAAGCCUAGAUAGCACUGGUCGCUUUCUAAGGUCCGUUUUACCAUAAAAACUCUUCCUACCUUAUUCUUGACAUUUGUGAUGACUAUUUUCACUCCUUGAACUAAUUAUCUACACCUUGAUUGCUUAAUUCUGAUAAAUAUUGACUCUUAGUCUAUUACCCCCACCUUAUUUUGCUAAACCCUCAAUCCUUAUCUAUUGAUUUACUCCCUCUUUAAAAAAACCUUUUUUUUGGCUACUCGCACCUUGAUCAAUUACCUUUCUUGUUUUCGUUAAAUUCUCAACCCUUGUCUAUUUAUUCUUUCUCCUUGAUGCUUUCUUGAUCUUGAUUAUACAUCUUCCUUGAUGAAUGACUUUCCCUAUUCCAAGCAUCUCACCCCUUUUGGUUUACUGGUGAAAAUGCUUACACCUUACUCCUUGAUAUUUUGUGUUAUUUCCUACUUAUCCUUUUGUUUACUAGUGACAGGCCUUGAGACAAAGCCCAACACAGGCAGAGGUGAGCCUGAAAUUGUUUCUGCUGAAGGAAACCACCAUGCGGAAGCUCGGGCUCAUCGAAGCCGAAGAUGGAGUCACCUGAGAGCCCAAGAGGUCCAAGACCUUGGCCACGAAAGCUACACCAUGACUGUAAUCAAGGGAUAGGGGACCCAUGGAGCCUUACCAGGAGGCCAAGCGGGGAGACAGCGAGCUCUUAAGAACUAGAGGAGGUUUAGAGGUGAAGAAGGGGAGGGUCAAGCCAACACUCUUUCCUUAGUCUAGAGCAUCUUGCACCUAGAACGUCGAGGAAGAAAGCCUUCUCCUUCCGGAAAGCUGCUUGUCGUCUUCAAUGGAAACCCCAACAUGGAGACAUCGUGAUCGUCUAAGGUAGGUAGGAGAGAGGAGAGGAAGAGGGUUAGAGGCGGUUGAUGGUGGCCAGCGGGGCCGGAGUGGCCACCACUGGGAGGCUGUGGACGCCGGGACUGGAGUGGUCACCGGCGGAGGCAGAGCCCGCGCUCAGCUCUCAACCACAAUUGUAUUAUACUGACUUUGGACAAAUUGGUUGCCUACAAAUAGGCCAUCCCAAUAUGCACUUGUUACACAUUUCUUCCUAUAGCUGUAGGCUAUGUAUAGCUACCGACCCAGCUGCCUUGAUCACCAUGGCUGCCGCGAUGCUCAAGAUGGCCAUUGCCAGCUUUCUGUUUAAAUUUUCUUUGAUUGUUCCCGUUGCCUUCAGUCGAUCUUGGCACAAACUGGCUUCGAUCUUCUUGCGAAAUUAAAAGGCACCCAACUAACAAACGAAGAUAAAGCAAGAGUUUCAAGACACAUUCAAUUCAAUUCAAUAAUAUCAUGAUAUACUCCCUCCUUUGUUAAACGUUUGACUCCAUUGACUGUUGGAAUUGAUGUUUGACCAUUCAACAUGGAAUCUACUUGAUGCUGUGGUUACCAGCUGAUCAGCAGGAAACAAAAGUGUUGUUCCAGUCCACGCGUAGGCGCUAUGUUUCAGGGAGUUGCUGUGCUGGGCCGGUUUGGGGUAUUUUUGCAUCUUCGUCCACGCACGACGUGUUGAAAGCCCAUGGCUUCGGAUGCCAAAAGCAAAAAAAAAGCAAAAAAUUGUAAACCUAUGAGGCCCAGCCAACGUGUUGAAGAUCAAUCAGUGCAGAAAACAAACCAUCAAGAUCGUUGUCUUUACUUGGCCAAUUCUUUAUAACGUGUUAAUUAAUCAUUAAACUAAGCAAGUUUGCUUAGCUCAAGACUGGGAGGUUCUACUGGGAGGUUCCAGAACGCCAACAUGUUUGUUUCAUAUUCUCGAGUCAGCUUCCCGGCUUCGGGCAGCCAGAAGCUGGAAAGCUGAAACAAACACUUCGCCAGAAGUCGGGAAGCUGAAACAAACACUUCUGUUGGACUGACCUUCAGAAAGCUAGAAAGCUAGCUUCAAAGGAAAUGAACUGAAAGCUGAAAAUCUAGCUUAGAGGAGUUUUUUCUAGCUUCUGGUGUGCUGAAAUAAAAAUUUAUUACAAAACCAUUAACAAAAUAUCAACAAUCAAAAAGUCAGCUUUCAGACAGUUAACUUUUCAGCCAAAAGUAAAAGCUCAAACAAACAUACCCUAACUCACCGCUGCUUAACCAACCUUCUGGAAGCCUGACCUCCACGUCACAUUGUUGUUGUUUUUUUGAUAGUGGCUUUGCCUUGUACGGCCGUGCUCUAAUUUACGAUCCGGACUAGUCAAAGCAAAACACACGCGCACACAAAAAGGAUAACCCCACAAGGCAGCCAGCCACCGUUGACGAGCGCCAUCGCGGGUCCUAUGGCAAGUGGGCCCGCGCGGCAAAAGCGCACUACGGGAGACAGAACUUUUGCCGAGUGCCUGGGGCACUCGGCAAAGGCAUGAAAACACUCGGCAAAGCCUUUGCCGAGUGUAACACUCGGCAAAGGGCACACGGCAAAUAUUGUGUCGGCAAAGCCUAGUUUGCCGAGUGUCAAAACUCGGACACUCGGCAAACAUGUUGCCGACGGCCGAAAAACACUCGGCGAACAGAUGGACUCGGCGAACCGCGGGCUGACGGCGUCGGGUAACGGCGAGUUUGCCGAGUGCCAAACGGGUGGCACUCGGCUCCCAGGCACUCGGCAAAGCCGGCUCUGUUUGCCGAGUGCCAGGCGCCUGGGCACUCGGCAAAGCCGCCCGCUUUGCCGAGUGCCUUGACCAUAGCACUCGGCAAAGGACCUUUCCUACACCUGGGAAAUGCCCCUUUGCCGAGUGCUAUGGUCACGACACUCGGCAAAGGACCCUCUUUGCCGAGUGUAACACUCGGCAAAGUGACCAGAACCGCCCCUUUUUCGAUAUUUUGCCACGUAUAACGGACCCCUCUCAAUUCUCAAUACACAUAUCACAGGUAUUUGUAAUAAACAACCACAUGAAUAAUUCACAACCACAGGCAUAAUUCAUAAACACCACAGGCAUAGUUCAACAUAAGCACGAAAUAAUCCAUAAAUCCAAGUUCUUCUCACAAUUUAGUUUCCACAUUGUUCACAAUCAAGUCUACUUCCGUGGAGGCCAAGGAGACCACUGCGACAAAUCUUGAUCUUCAUUAUUCGAAGCCGCCGAUUGAUUCUGCACAUAGGAUAGGACAUUCUGAGGUAACAUCUAAAGUUGUCAAAUUUAAACUAUUGAAUCUUAAACACAAUGUGUCAAGUGACUCACAGGAGUAGUCGUGGGUGGCUGAGGCGGAGGGAACAUCAUCGGCGGUGGCGGAGGCAAAGUCUGUCCCAUGCUCGUAGCAAAGUUCUGCAUGUACUGGAACAUCUGCUCCAUCCUAAUCCGGUUUUCCUCCUCCAUCCUCCGCCGCAUUUCCUCCAUCUGCGCCGCCAUCUCCUCUUGUUUCUUCCUUGAUUCUUCCACCUGGGCCUACAAUAUUUUAUUGCAAUGUUAUAAUGCAAAGCUAAAGUACAACAACAAACGAACGAUGAAUGGAAGAGAAAGAACCUGUAGAGCCUCCAUCUGGAACUGUGCAGCGGUGGGUCGUGGGCGUACCGCCGGGCUUGAGUCCGUGCUCCUAGCUCGGAUCUGGAAGAGAGUGGGAGUAGAGGCCGUGUCGAGGACGCCGUCGCCAAUCCAAUAUCGGCCAUGCUUCUUGCCUCCUCCCACCCUCAUCACGAUUUCUCCAUCAAUGUCCUCGGAGCUCGGAUCGAAGUCUGGCCCGUGAACCUCCCUAGCCAUCUUUGUAUACUCGCUGACGCGGCUGUAUAUGCUAGGGUGGCUGUACGCCUCGGACGGGUCGUCUGGGUUGAAAUCUAUAUCGGCCGUCGCCUUGCCUUUGCCGAGUGCCCUAUAUUGACACUCGGCAAACACUAACGGCCGUCACGGAAGGGCGCCGCCGUCGGCACGGGAAGGUCAGUUUGCCGAGUGUCAACGUUUGCCGAGUGCCGCCUGGGUGUUUGCCGAGUGUUUUUUGGGUAACACUCGGCAAACCGGUCGUUCGCCGAGUGUUUUAUUUUUGCCGUGUGUUUUUUAUGUUACACUCGGCAAAAGGUUGCUUCGCCGAGUGCCCGAAAAAAAGCACUCGGCGAAGUUAUUACACUCGGCGACUUUAUGCUUUCCCGUAGUGGCGCGAGCGGGUCGUUUUCGCCUUGCGCCCCUCCACCUCUCCAACUAUUGCCGAACUAUGCCCCUGCCUCCCCUCUGUUGGAUGCCCCUGCCGACUAGUUCGAGGGCUGAUCCGCGAAACGCUAACCCGCGGGGCUAAUCCCGUAAUCUCCUCUAUUGGACACGUGGCCGACUCUGAUUGGGCAACAGCGGGUCAACUGUCAACUGUUGCGUAACUUCACGGAGCAGCCCUCGCCAAAUUUCUUAUUACUUUUUUCUUUUCUCUCUCUUUUUUUUCGUUUUUGCUUCCCCGUCGCCGUCACCUGCUUGCUUCUUCCUACCAGUACCUGUAUCUCUCUCUCUCUCUCUCUCUCUCUCCUCCGGUGGUGGGGGCGGGCAGGGAGGCGACGGAGAGAGAGUGGGGGGGAGAGGGAGGAGGCGACGGCGAUGGCUGCGAAGGGCGCGAUGGCGGCGCUGCUGGUGCCGCUGCUCGUCGCGGCGCUCCUGGCAUGCGUUUCUCCCCCUGGAGCGGCGGCGGUGGCGGCGGAGCAAGGAGGUGAGAUGAAUUUUUUUCCCCCCGUUUCAACCGCCGGUCCUCCUGGUUCGUCGUGCCGUCGCUGCGCCUGCGCGUGCGCGGCCCCUCGCGUGGUUCUGGACGGUUUCUUUCCUGCUUGCUUGGGAGGGGGUUCGGAGGAAGGAAAGCUGUUGGUGCGGGCGAUUGGUUGCGGCGGAUUGGAUUAGAUGAAGCAAAGCUCGGGGAUUAGAUGAACAUUUCGUAGUAAUACCGACUGCAGAAGCAGCAGAUUUCUUCCGGAUGUGAGCAUCGCCGGGGGCCACUGUAGAUUGGGGGAAGUAAAUCAGUAAUGAUAAGCUGCUACCUUUAGAGCAAUGCUUGAUGUUCUCAGUACGUCAAAUGUUGACUGUUCGUAGGCGAUGCAGAGCUUAAGCGAAGGUUGUGUGCUACCAGCCUACAACUUGCUUAUUAUCGCCUAGAGGCGGUGGUGCAGCAUAGCGGUUGAGGUGCCGUAGUAAGGGGACUAGUUUCUUGCCUGCAGCAUUGGGGAUGCGAAACUAUGCGAUAUUCUUGAAUCGAGUAGCAGGUUAUGCUUGUGUAUGCUUCUGGAAUUGGAAGCGCCAUUGGAUAUCACAGCUUUUAGUUCCAGUCUCACAUGUGGAUUUCUUCCACUUCUGUAGAUAGCUUUCACCAGUACUAAAGUGCCGGCUGGUUCGGCUUUUCUUUGCCAAUGCAGUACUCAGGAUGAAGCCUUGUGAUGGUGGUUAUCCUUAUAAUCGUACUCUUGCUCAUAUUCUUGUCGAAUAUGCAUCUGCUGUAAGUUCCCCACUUCUUCCCUGGCAAUCUUAUUAAUCCUGUUGACAACUUUGUAAAUUUGCCCAUAAUUCCUCUUUGUUCUGCGAUCUGCAAUGGACUGAUUUUGUGGCUACAAAACAGUAGGUGACUACUGAAUAGUAUCAUGAACAUCAUUAUCAACAAUUUCAGUUUCCUGAUCAUUUGUGUGCUCCACCUACACGCUAACGUGUUGCUGCUCCUCAUCAGAACUAACUGAAGAAACAUUUGUUGACAAUUUGUCAUUAAAUGUAACAGAUUCAUUGAAAACAAUGCUCCUACUCAUAAAAAUCUUUUUAGUUUCAGGAUUCCAUAACUUAUAUCCUUUUACUCCAGAACCAUAACAAAGAAAUAGACACUAAAUGGCUCUAGGUUCUAGCUUUCCAUUAUCAACAUGAGCAUAAGCAGUGCAACCAAAAACUCUCAACUGUGAAUAAUCAGCAGGCGUACCAGACCAUACCUCAAUGGGAGUUUUCUUAUUGAGUGGGAUAAAAGGCGACCUGUUUAUCAAGUAACAAGCGGUGUUAGCAGCAUCUGCCCAAAAACGCUUGUUCAUACGAGCGUUGGACAGCAUGCAACGAGCCUUCGAGAUUAUGGUUCUAUUCAUGCGCUCAGCCACACCAUUCUAUUGAGGAGUGUAUGGGAUGGUGUGGUGCCUGACAAUGCCUUCCUUCCUGCAGUAAUCAUUAAAAGCAUCCGAACAGAAUUCACCACCAUCAGUACGAAGCAAUUUUACCUUCUUUUCAGUUUGCCUUUCUAUCAUAACUUUCCGCUCCUUAAAAGUGGCAAAAAUAUCAUCUUUAUUUUUUAAAAAGUAAGGCCACACUUUUUCUAGAAUAAUCAUCAAUGAUAAUAAGCAUGUAACAAGCACCACCAUGAGAGAGCUUACGAGAUGGUCCCCACAAAUCAGCAUGUACAUAAUUAAGUGUACCUUUGCUGGUAUGAAUGGAGGCACUGAAUUUUACCAUCUUGUGCUUACUAAAAACACGGUGCUCAUAGAACUUCAUCUUACCCAAAGUGCAGCCAUCCAGCGGGUCUCUCUUGAUCAAUUGUCAUACCAAGUUCACUCAUAUGCACAAGACACAUAUGCCACAUAUUAGUCUUACUUAGUUCAUAAUUAGAAACAAUAGCAGCAGUAAUGGAACCAUGUAAAGUACUUUCUCUAAGAAUAUAUAACCUUGCAGAAUUCAUAUCACCUAUCAUAUAAAUAAGAGAACCUUUUGAUACCUUACACACUCCACUUGAACUGGAGUGUUUGUACCCCUCGGAAUCAAGUGUGCUGAGGGAGAUGAGAUUUCUGGCCAUCCCUGGAAUGUGUCUCACAUCUUUCAGUGUGCUUAUAAUACCAUCAUGCAUCUUGAUCUAAACGGAGCCAAUGCCUACAAUCUCACGUGGGUUGUCAUCUCCCAUACGCACGACAUCUCCACUCUGCACAGACUCGUAAGAAUUGAACCAAUUUCUGUUACAGCAUAUAUGAAAUGAGCAUGUAGAAUCAAGUAUCCAUUCAUCAUGACCAGCAACACAACCAGCAAAAGCAACAAGACAGUCUCCUGAAUCGGAAUUAUCAGCACCGGAAACAACAAAAGCUUUACCAUCACCAUCGGAUUUAUUUUUCGAUUGAUACGUACCGUUUCUUUUCUCCUUAUUCUGCAGCUUCCAACAAUCAUCAAUGACAUGAGUUUUUUUCUUACAAUACCUGCAGAACAACUUGCCUCUGGAUUUCAAACGACCUCUACCGUUCUGCCUCUUGUCUCGAUUAUAGUUGUUGUUAUGGGUUUUCUGCUCGGACCUGCCUCUAACCUGCAAUGCUUCACCCUUGGAGGACGAUACAUCAGACUGAACCAUACCCUUCAUCUUCUCCCUCGUUUGGAGAGCCUCAUAAACUUCCGCAAGGGUUAGUUCAUCACGGCUUAAUAGUAUGGUGUCUUGAAAAUUUGCAAACAAACUAGGUAGUGAGCAUAAUAGUAGAAGACCUAAAUCUUCAUCAUCGUAUUGUACCUCCAUCGACACUAGGUCGGCAACGAUCUCCUUAAAGAUCGAUAAGUGGUUCAUCACCGAACCACCUUCUUGCAGGUUGUGCGUGAACAACUUCAUCUUCACGUACAUCUUACUGGUAAGAUUCUUGGACACGCAGAUCGAUUCCAGCUUGAGCCAAAGCUUUGCGGCAGUUUUCUCCUACAGUACUUCUUUGCAAAAUAUCAUUCGAUAGAUGAAGUUGAAUCAUAGACAGAGCCUUACGGUCCUUCCGCUUCUCAUCAGCGGUCCAUGACUCCUUCUUUCUUCUGAAACCAUCCAGAACCUCAUCAAGAUCCGAAGAUUGUGCCAGAAUUGCCCGCAUCUUGACUUGCCACAGCGAAAAUCUCAUCUUGUAGUUCAGCAGCGGUAGAUCAAACUUCAUCGAUGGAACCCUAAUCAGAAACAAGGCUCUGAUGCCACUUGUUACAAACGAUAGGCAAUAUAAAUGACGAAGAAUAGAAGAUCCAACACAGGAGACACGAGAUUUAACGUGUAAAACCUUUCCAAGAAGGAAGAGAAAAAACAACGGGCGCCAGCCAGCAAAUCUUCACUAUAUCGGGUGAGGUUAUAAACGCUAGAGAUUUACAACUUGGGAUACCCUAACCUAGGGUGCCUUUCCAUAUAGUAGUCUAUGGUGCAUCUUUUCCAUGAGGGAGGUGGUCCGUAUAUGUAAGGAGGAAAACCCUCCACACCCUCGUCUAUUGGCAAUACGAAACUAAUAGAUGGUGUAGUCCCCCUUAACGCUAAUGGGCCGCUUUGCUUCGGCCCAAACCUACCGGUGAAGGACCUCGCUUUGCUCUGUCUGAAGUCGGUAUUUAUCUGUAUAUUACUGAAUUUGAAUCAUAACUCAACACAAGAUGCACUUCUCUACCCAUGCAUCUUUUCCUAUAGCUACAGACCCAGCUGCCUUGAUCACCGUGCAUGGCUGCCACGAUGCUCAAGAUGGCCAUUGUCAGCUUUCUGUUUAAAUUUUCUUUGAUUGUUCCCGUGUUGCCUUCAGUCGAUCUUGGCACAAACUGGCUUCUUUUUGCGAAAAUUAAGGGGUGUUUGGAUCCACGAGCUAAAAUUUAGUCCGUGUCACAUCGAAUAUUCGGAGGCUAAUUAGGAGGACUAAAUAUGAGUUAAUUAUAAAACUAAUUACACAAAUGGAGGCUAAACGACGAGACGAAUCUAUUAAGCCUAAUUAAUCCAUCAUUAGCAAAUGAUUACUGUAGCAACGUACUGUCAAAUUUAUGGACUAAUUAGGCUUAAUAGAUUCGUCUCACCGUUUAGCCUCUAUUUGUGCAAUGGGCUUUGUAAAUAGUCUAUGUUUAAUACUCCUAAUAUCUAAACAUUCGAUGUGACAGGGUUAAAGUUUAGCCGGGGAUCCAAACGGAACCUAAAGGCACCCAACUAAUAACAAACAAAGAUAAAAGCAAGAGUUUCAAGGCACAUUCAAUUCAUUGUACUACUUUAUCAGUCUGUCUGUCCGUCUGUCAUAAUGUAUGCAAACAUGUAUGGAAUCUACUUUACCAGCUGCUGAUCAGCAGGAAACAAAAGUGAUGUUCCAGUCCAUGCGUAGGCGCUAUGUUUCAGUAGUCACCCUGCUGGGAGUCGCUGGGAAAUGCUCUGCUGGGCCGGGCUGAGCUGGGGCAUUUUUGCAUCUUCUUCGUCCACGCACGCCCGUGUUGAAAGCCCAUGGCUUCGGAAGCCCAUCGUCUGCCAGAAGCAAAAACUGUAAACCUGUAAGGCCCAGCCAACGUGUUGAAGAUCAAGAUGGUCUCUUUACGUGGCCAAUUCUUUACAACGUGUUAAUUAAUCAUUAAACUAAUCAAGUUUGCUUGGGUCAAGACUGGGAACGCCAAUCUAACUCACUGCUGCUUAACCAACCUUCUGGAAGCCUCACCUCCACGUCUACAUUGUUUUUUCAAUAGUGGGUUUGCCUUGUACGGCCGUUCUCUCUGAUGUGUUCUUAAAUAUAUUACACGGUCGACUUAGUUAACUAAAGUGCAAUGUGUAUCAUUAUGUCUAUUAUCAAAUAUCCUCGGGUGUUUGGUUCUUUAGAACCUUCUAAAAUUUUUGUCACAUUGAAUGUUUAGAUACUAAUUAAAAGUGUUAAAUAUAGACUAAUUGCAAAACCAAUUGCACAGAUGGAGGUUAAUUUGUGAGAUGAAUUUAUUAAGCCUAUUUAGUCCAUGAUUUGACAAUGUGAUGCUACAGUAAAUAUGUGCUAAGGAUGGAUUAAAUAGGCUUAGGGGGUGUUUGGCAGGGAGGGGCUAAAUUUUAGCCCCUGUCACAUCGGAUGUUUGGACACUAAUUAGGAGUAUUAAACAUAGUCUAAUUACAAAACUAAUUGCACAACCCCUAGGCUAAAUCGCGAGACGAAUCUAUUAAGCCUAAUUAGUCCAUGAUUUGACAAUGUGGUGCUACAGUAACCAUUCGCUAAUGAUGGAUUAAUUAGGCUUAAUAGAUUCGUCUCGCGAUUUAGCCUAUGGGUUCUGCUAUUGGUUUUUUAAUUAGCUCAUAUUUAGUCCUCCUAAUUAGCAUCUGAACGUGUGAUGUGACAGGGCUAAAGUUUAGCCCCUGACAUCCAAACGCCCCCUUAAUAGAUUCAUCUCGCGAAUUAGCCUCCGUCUGUGUAAUUAGUUUUAUAAUUAGCUCAUGUUUGAUCCUCCUAAUUAGCCUCCGAAUAUUCGAUGUGACAUGAAUUUUAGUUCGGACUAAAGAUCCAAACACCCUCUUAACUUGUAGGUUUAUCUAUGUAAAAAAUAUAAAUCUAUGUAAAAAAUAUUUAUAGAAAACUAAAUACAAACGAAUAAAAAAAGUCAACGGUGUCGUGCGUUAAAAAACGGAGGGAGUACGAUUCUCCCGAGCUUCUCAACUCCGGAUCAGUCAAAGCCAAACGCACACGCACACAAAGGAUAACCCCACAAGGCAGAGCCAGCCACCGUUGACGAGCGCCAUCGCCGGCCCCCGUGCCUAUGGCAAGUGGGCCUGCGCGCGCGCAGUCCGACGGCAGAGCGAGCGGGUCGUUUUCGCCUUGCGCCCCCUCCACCUCUCCAACUAUUGCCGAACUAGGCCCCUGCCUGCCUCUCCCCUCUGUUGGAUUGGAUACUCGGAUCACCCCUCUCCCUGAUAUCCGACUAGUUCGAGGGCUGAUCCGCGAAACGGCUAACCCGCGGCGGGGCUAAUCCCGUAAUCCCCUCUCUUGGACACGUGGCGGACUCUGAUUGGGCAACGGAAGCACCCAACCGCGGGAGCCGUCCGGGUCAAGUCAACUGUCAACUGUUGCGUAACUUCACGGAACAGCCCUCGACAAAUUUCUUAUUACUUUUUUCUUUUCUCUCUGUUUUUUUUUUUCGUUUUUGUUUUCCCGUCGCCGUCUCCUGCUUGCUUCUUCCUACCAGUACCUGUCUCUCUCUCUCUCUCUCUCUCUCCUCCGGUGGUGGGGGCGGGCAGGGAGGCGACGGCGAUGGCUGCGAAGGGCGCGAUGGCGGCGUUGCUCGUCGCGGCGCUCCUGGCAUGCGCUUCUCCCCCUGAAGCGGCGGCUGCGGCGCGGCGCUCCUGGCAUGNNNNNNNNNNNNNNNNNNNNNNNNNNNNNNNNNNNNNNNNNNNNNNNNNNNNNNNNNNNNNNNNNNNNNNNNNNNNNNNNNNNNNNNNNNNNNNNNNNNNAUGCCCCCCCCCCCCCGCGUUUCAACCGCCGUCCUCCUGGUUCGUCGUGCCGUCGCUGCGCCUGCGCGUGCGCGGCCCUCGCGUGGUUCUGGACGGUUUCUUUCCUGGUUGCUUUGGAGGAAAGCUGUUGGUGCGGGCGAUUGGUUGCGGCGGAUUGGAUUAGAUGAAGUAAAGCUCGGGGAUUAGAUGAACAGUUCGUAGUAAUACCGACUGCAGAAGCAGCAGAUUUCUUCCGGAUGUGAGCAUCGCCUGGGGGCACUGUAGAUUGGGGGAAGUAAAUCAGUAAUGAUAAGCUGCUACCUUUAGAGCAAUGCUUGAUGUUCUCAGUACGUCAAAUGUUGACUGUUCGUAGGCGAUGCAGAGCUUAAGCGAAGGUUGUGUGCUACCAGCCUACAACUUGCUUAUUAUCGCCUAGAGGCGGUGGUGCAGCAUAGCGGUUGAGGUGCCGUAGUAAGGGGACUAGUUUCUUGCCUGCAGCAUUGGGGAUGCGAAACUAUGCGAUAUUCUUGAAUCGAGUAGCAGGUUAUGCUUGUGUAUGCUUCUGGAAUUGGAAGCGCCAUUGGAUAUCACAGCUUUUAGUUCCAGUCUCACAUGUGGAUUUCUUCCACUUCUGUAGAGCUAUUUCACCAGUACUAAAGUGCCGGCUGGUUCGGCUUUUCUUUGCCAAUGCAGUACUCAGGAUGAAGCCUUGUGAUGGUGGUUAUCCUUAUAAUCGUACUCUUGCUCAUAUUCUUGUCGAAUAUGCAUCUGCUGUAAGUUCCCCACUUCUUCCCUGGCAAUCUUAUUAAUCCUGUUGACAACUUUGUAAAUUUGCCCAAACCUCCUAUUGUCCUUGCCUAGCUAGACAAUUUCUGUGUUCAAACUUUCUUCCUGGCCCCUUUCUUUUUAAGAAAAACUUUGAAACUCCUUUCAACACCAUGCCAUUCACCGCCUAUUCUAUGCAGCAUAUUCAGUCGCUAAUCUCUAUCAUAUAUCCAAAUGCUUCUUUCUAUAGACUUGGCUUAUGUAAAUGCAUUUCAGGUGUAUACAUCUGACCUAACAUCACUUUUCACAUGGACCUGUCCAAGGUGCAAAGGUCACACAAAGGUAACUCGCUUAUGAAUCGAUAAUGUUUGUUCUAGUUCUGUUUGUACAAGAUGUUCUACAUGUUCCUUGGCAUCUAAUUGUCUGUUUCUUUUUCAUUAUUGAUGCAGGGUUUUGAGGUGAUAGAGGUCAUUGUAGAUGUGGAGAACUGUUUACAGGUUAGUUAUUAUUUUACUGUUUCAGGUCUUCUUAUUCUUGCAGUGUUUGACGAAACCCUAUGUUCAAUUGCUUAUUAAAAAAUUCUGCAGGCAUUUGUUGGAGUUGCCCCUGACCCACGAUCCAUAAUCAUUGCAUUUAGAGGCACUCAACAACACAGGUACAUAAAUUGCUCUGUUAUGCGUAGCAUAUUAGUGACCAAGACUUGUACUGUAUGAAUAUAUGUUCUCAGUCAUCAUCCUUUUAUCCUUGCUAAUUGACUAUAUGUUUCAAUUUCAGCUCAUAAAAUUGUUUUUCUUAUAUAACUUAAUCAUACGCGAAUUACGAGCAUUCAAUUUUUGUAUCUCUUUGACUGGCUGCCUUGGAAUUUUACUUGCAGUGUCUCCAAUUGGAUUGAAGAUCUCUUUUGGAAGCAGCUCGAUGUGACUUAUCCAGGCAUGCCAGAUGCAAUGGUAACACCACUAGUAUAUUUUUUUUUUGUUUGUUUUUACAGUUCUUAUUGAACUAGCUAUAACUCUUGGUUGCUUGCUGUGUAUGUCUCUUGUUGCAGGUCCAUCAUGGAUUUUAUACUGCAUAUUAUAAUACAACUCUGCGACAUGAGAUCUUGAAAUCUAUUCAAUGGGCAAGGAAAACAUAUGGAAAACUACCCAUAAAUGUUGUGGGUCACUCCAUGGGAGGGGCGUUAGCUUCAUUCUGUGCCCUUGAUCUUUCUGUAUGUACUUUUAGGCCAUCUGGGUACUUUUGGUUCCUUUAUGAGCAGCUAUGUACGCAAACCAAUUUCAUCCAACUACACCAUUAAAAACAGCUAAAUUUCUUUUUGUGAAUGAAGUUAUUUCAUAUGUCAUAUACUUCCUUCAAUUGGAAAUAUAAGUGCAUUUGGACAUAAUUACGGUCUCCAAUAGACAUUUUGACUAGCAAUAUCUAUAAAAAUGUACUAUCUCAAAUGGAAAGAGUAAUAUAUCAUGAAAUUAUUUUUUAUAUAUUAUAACGAAUCUAGUAAUGUUUCUCUCAUAUUGUCCAUCUGUAUAAAAAAUUACUCAUUCAUAGUCAGGUAAAAAAUUGACUUAGGACAAACCUAGAUGGGCUUAUAUUUCUGAUCAGAGGAAGUAUGCCCUAUGAACCUAGGAUUGAACCUAUGCUUCUUACCUGAUAUGAUUGCUUGUAUAUUAAUGUAUAUGCAGGUUGCUGACUUCAAUAAGCUAAUAUCUUCUUUUCUUUUACAGGUUAAGUUUGGAUCACAGGAAGUUGAGCUCAUGACUUUUGGACAGCCUCGGAUAGGCAAUCCUGCUUUUGCUGCAUACUUUGGUGCUCAAGUUCCAAGAACAAUCCGCGUGACCCAUCAGAAUGAUAUUGUGCCACAUUUACCACCGUACUAUUAUUACCUAGGUGAAUGGACAUAUCACCACUUUGCUAGAGAGGUAUGCAAAAGAUUUUUGACAAAAAUGCAUCUGUAUGCUGAAUAUGCUGGAGGUUUUUUUUUUUCCCAGACUACUCUUACGCCAUCCAUUUCCUCUGCAUUUGCUUCCCAUCAGGUUUGGCUUCAUGUGAUCAUAGAUGGAAAUGUGGUUACCAGAAAUGAGACAGUCUGUGAUGAUUCCGGUGAGGACCCAACCUGCAGCAGGUAUCUAUCUGCCUAACAUGGCCUUACAAUUUUGGACAUUUAUGUUCUUCUGUGUGCUGCUCAUUGAUUGCUUUUGCUUGAACAGGUCGGUCUAUGGAAUAAGUGUGGCAGAUCAUCUUGAGUACUAUGGCGUCACACUGCAUUCCGAUUCAAGGGGAACUUGUCAAUUUGUGAUGGGUGCAGCCAACUCAGUAUACAGCUACAUUCGUGAAGUUGAUGGAACCAUCAUCUUGUCAAGAUAUGCGCAAGAACCACAUGCCCUAGAAUCCAUGUGACUUUGUAUGCCACGAAACACACCCCUGUACAGUAUUUUAUUUUCAUUUGUGUACAGCUCAUGAAAUACUGGGCCCUCCCGGAGCUCUCCUGAGGAUAAGCAGAGGCUCACCUUUUAAACGUGCCCCUUUUGCUCAAGUGAGAACUGUACAUGUAAGCUCCAUAACAUUGUAUGCACGCUUCGAUGAUGUACAUAAAAAAAAUAUAUGACAGGCUUAAGUAAUGGAAAUGUUUGAUGGUGCCACUUGUUUGGUUUUUUUUUUUCACUUAUUGUGAUACGACCUGAGAUAUAUCCAGAUUCUCUCAGCAUUUCACCUCACCUUUACCGUCGUUUCAGAUACUCUUGCAGAUCAAAGAAUGUAGCCCCUUGGACACCUUAAUUGAUGCAUAAAAAUUAUAACAGGCUUUAUUAAUGGAAUUGUUUGAUGGUAACACUUAUUUCAUAUUUUGCUCACUGUAAUUGUAUCUGAGAUAUUUCUAUAUUUUCUCUCAGCAUUGCUGAACUGAGAAUUGUACAUGUAAUCUUGAUACCAUUGUUUGUGCGCUUUGAUUGAUUGCAUAUACAAAUAUAUAUAUAUAUAUAUAUAUAUAUAUAUAUAUACAUAUAUAUAUGUAUAUAUAUAUAUAUAUAAAAGAGACUUAUGUGAUGGAUUUGAUGGUACCCCUUAUUUGAAAAUAUAUAUAAUAUGAUAUCUUCGUAACAUUGUGCAACAGACUGACAAAAUCAUCACCUAUUGUGAUUCUACUUGAGAUAUUUCCAAAAAAAAAUUCUUUCUUCAUUGCCCCUCACCUUUACUUUCGUUUCAGAUAUGCUUUUGCAGAUCAUAGAAUGUAGCCCCUUGCAUACAUGAGGAGCCAGGAACUGAUCAAGCUCAGGAAGGAAUCUCAAGAUGCAAAGUUCCACACAUGGUCCGCACUGCGAGGACAGAUCUUGAGGAUAAGGAUACAUGUCUAUCCAGAUAUUCUCCAUUGUCGUCUGCUUGUUCCAGAGGUUUGCAUCAUAUACAAGAGAAGAUGUGAAGAUGCAUCGCGGCUUAUCAACGGUGACUGUUCCAUAGCAUCAUUUAAACAGCAUGCUCUUGCUGAUAUGCAAUGCAAGGUUCUGCUGCGUCUUGCUGAUAAGGAUGAUGCGGCUUGUUAAAGGUGGAAGUCUUCAGAGAGAACCAGACAUAGCAAAUUGGGUGUCUGACUGAAGAUUUGUUCACUAAGAAUGGUGUGAAACUGUUCAGAAGCAACGUGAGAAUGCAAAUGGGGCAGAUUCUGGCGCCACGGAUAAGGUCAGAAGAGAGACUGACUGUGGAUGAUGAAAGUCGUCAGAGAUAACAAGACAUUGCAAAAUGGGUGUCUGACUGAAGAUUCAUUCACUAAGAAUGGUGAAACUAUUCAGAAGCAACUUGAGAAUGCAAAUGGGCAGAUUCUGACGCUACGGACAAGGUCAGAAGAGAGAGUGACUGUGUGAGGGGGACUGAAUGAGACCGUAGGCUCUCUGUCUGAAGAUGCCAUUCUGUACCUGAAGAACAGGGGCUUGAUCCCUCCAAUACAAAGUGGUUGUUCUUAGCCGGAGGAAUCAGAUCCUGCUGUCAUACUGUCAUGUGACGAAGCGUCGCCGUGUUGUUGUCGGCACUUUUGAUUUUUCUAUGGACUUCUGUACUUAACACUCGGACUCAAAAGGUCUGAACUCUCAAGUUAGCAGUGAUGCAGGCCAGCAUUCAGACUUUCACAGAACUGAAGAACACUACAACUACUAGGUAAAGGAAAUGACAUACAUUGCAUCAGAAGUUUUCUGUGAUUACAAGGUUCAGAAUUCAGACUCUAUAUCAACAAAGCAGAGAAAAAUUUCACUGUUCUCAUUGUUCUGUUUUUGAGCUUCUCAACCAUGUCUUACUAGUAUGUUAACGUGUGUACUUGAUCAGUAUCGGAAUCUGUAAGUGCAUACAUAUACUCUCAAGAUUGUAUGAUUAUAAAUUGUGACUGAACAAUUUAUUUCUACCCUAAAGAAAAUCCACAAAUAUACGUUUGUGUAUAGUCCUAUCCUCAUUUGAAAAGAUCCAUUUGUUUUUUCAGAUUUUAGCAUUGGAAUUUCGGCAUGAGGUCAACUCGUGUUAUGAGAAAAGAUUCUAGUGCUCCAAGGCCCUCAUGCAUGAACACACACACACGGAUUCUUAUCCAAAACUAGCUAUCCAAUCCUUAACUGGCCUGCACUCUACCAGAAGAAUCAUUUUUCAGUUACACAUGAACCAAAUCUAGCUAUAUAUGUUCCAUAUGCACAUAAAAGAAUAUAAGAUGCUUAGAAAAUGCUAUGAUCUCAUUCGCAAACAAAAUGAAAAUGCUAUGAUAUGGUUGUCAAGAAUCCACUGCAGAUAGGCACACGUACCGACAUCUUUUUCUAGCCUAUAAAAGGAAGCCAUGGCCAGCACCAAGAAACCACACCAGCCAACUUUUGCAGACCAUCUACAACUCUAAAGAGAGACGAGUCUAGAACCUUCCGGGGCACCACACCAUUGAAGUGAUGGACCGCGUGGCGAGGCUGGUGUCGGAGCGGACGGUGGUGGUGUUCACGGUGAGCAACUGCAGCUGGUGCAACGUCGUGACGUCGCUGCUGGACAGCCUGGGCGUGCACGCCGCCGUGCACGAUCUGGACAGGGACCCCCGGGGCCGGGAGAUGGAGCGGGAACUCGCCAGGAGGCUCGGCGGCGGCGCCGGGCGCGGUGGCAGCACACCGACCGUGCCGGCGGUGUUCGUGGGCGGCGACCUCGUCGGCGGGAUUAACAGGGUCCUGGCGCUGCACCUCAGCGACGAGCUCGUGCGCAUGCUCAGGAACGCCGGCGCGAUCUGCCCAUGCUAGAAUAGUGAAGUCAACCGUGACAAUUGCUCGAAAAUAAUGGAGGGAGUAACUAAACCUCUGUAAUUAUUCUUCUCGUUUGAAUUUAGAUAUAACCGCUAAUAGUAUGUUGCUAUGCAAUUAUGCAGUUAAUAUCAAAUUGAAUUGUGUGUAAUGAAUUAAUCUGCUGAAUGCGGAUACGAGAAACAGUCGUUGACCCAACUCCUCAAGAAUCAAGAGGUGAUACGUUGCCCUUGAGAUGGUCGAGGGGAUCAACGUUUGAGCUACUGGUUUGGACAAAUUUUGACUGAAAUUUUAAAAUCUAAAUGAAUUCGUCCCAAAAAUUUCCGGCACUGCCAAAAUUCAAAGGCAAUCUGCACAGUGGAGUCGGCAGCCCGGCAGCACACCACAUAGAGCAUCGAACAGCACAAAUUCCAUCGACUGAAACUAAUUCAAGGCCUUCACGCCUUCAUUACACCAUCAACCGAACACAAGUUCAGUAGACUCUAGUCAGCGCAGCGACCAGUGACAAACUCACAAACAAUGACUGAAACCGUAAAGGCAAAGGCAGAUUGACACCACAAAGGAAUUUCAGCAUUUCCAUUAUGCAAUAGUGCAUUUUCUACUCAUCUAAUCAUCUCUGGAAUCAGAAGAAUCAGAAAUGUGCAUCAAGCUGCCAAUCAUCACGCAUCAGACCUGAGUUUCUUCUUCCUAGGUCACCUCUUCCUUUUUUUUCUUGUGGUCGUGGGUUCGUGACAUCGAUGCUCCAGUGGCUGUGAUGCUCCAGCUCCAUCUUGUCCACUUUCAUGAACUUCCUUUUCUUCUGCAUUUGCAAUUGGUACAGUCCAAAGUAACCAACUCCAGAAGAACAUCAUUUAUUUCCUUCUCUAUGGGAUCUCUGCUCCUGUUCUCAUUCUUUUGCCUUAGUUUGGAGUUAAAUGCACAAAAUGCAAGAUCCCUCAUCCUACCAUGAAGUAAUAGAUGAAAUAAUGGGCUUGGCCCAUUUCAAUUUCAGAAAUUCCAAAUAAAUCUCAAAAGCCCAUGUGGGAAUGAGCAAGUGGUUGAAGUGGUGCAAACCUUUAGUCCCACAUUGCUAGUGGAAGAGAAGGAUGGCCACAUAAAUAUGGAGGUUGUCUUCACUCCUCCAAGCUAUGUGUGUGGGGAGAGAAGGAAAGCUCCACACGCGCACGCUCGCUCGCUGCACCACACGGGGCGAAGGGCGUGGGCGUGUGACACCUGCAUGAAUGGUCGACCGAAAUCCGGCCUCCAACCUUGCGGUGGCGAGCAAACGGGAGAGCAGGUCUCCGAAACCUCUCGCUCUUGUGAUCCUACAUGGGGAGAGGGCAAAUAAGGUUUUUGGAAGCGCUCCGCGCGACUGCUCAAGGUCUUCACCAUGACUUGUCCUCCGUCUAAGUCUGGCGUUGUGGGCGUACCAUCGUCUUCGACGUCGUCUGUUGCGCUCCAUCCGCAACACCGUCAUCGUUCCGUCAGCACCGCUUGUCAUCACGGCUGCACCUGCUAAGUACGUACGUCGUGAUCCAAUCUGUUAUUUCAGCAUAUUUUCUAAGAUCAUGAAGUUGUGCACUUCUCUAAGCAUUGUCCAAAUCAUGCAGACCGCAAGGGCAAAAGGGCCAAUGGGUCUAAGUAUGUCAACAUGGUGACCAUAGGCAACACUGGAGAUGGGUACGGUAAUCUACCUACUGUUCUUUCAGUUUUUCAUUCCACUAGUUGGUGGUUUGAUACUGGUGCCAAUGUUCAUGUGUGUGCUGACAUCUCCAUGUUUUCCUCUUACCAGGUCACCCAGGAUUUCUCUGUGCUAAUGGGAAUGGGUCACAUGCUACUAUUCAUGGUGUUGGUACGGUAGAUCUGAAGUUUACUUCAGAAUUUCUUUGUGCUGAUGGGAAAUGGAUCACAUGCUGUUGUUCAUGGUAUUGGUACGGUAGAUCUAAAGUUACUUCGGGGAAGAUCGUGCAACUGAGGAACGUGCAUCAUGUCCCUACCAUCAACAAGAGUCUUGUGAGCGGGUCGGUCCCGUGUAAGGACGGGUUUAAGGUAGUGUUAGAGUCCAAUAAAUUAGUCAUGUCAAAACAUGGACAGUUCGUUGGUAAAGGCUAUGAGUGCGGAGGCUUGUUCUGCUUUUCCCUUGCAAACUUUUGUAAUAAGUCCGUGAACCAUAUUUGCGGCAACGUUAGUGUGAUGCGAGUACUUGGCAUUCACGUUUGUGCCAUAUUAAUUUUUGUUUAAUGUCUCGGCUUUCCAGCAUGUGUUUAAUUCCGAACCUCACCAUUGGCAAAGGUUCUAAGUGCCAUAGUUGUGUGCAAUCGAAGCAACCUCGGAAGCCUCACAAGGCGGCUGAGGAGAGACACUUGGCACCUCUAGAACUCAUACAUUCUGAUAUGUGUGAGAUGAAUGGUGUGUUGACAAAAGGUGGAAAGAGAUACUUCAUGACAUUGAUUGAUGAUGUGACUAGAUUUUUCUAUGUUUACUUGUUGCAAACUAAGGAUGAAGCAUUAGACUACUUUAAAAUUUAUAAGGCUGAGGUUGAGAAUCAACUUGAGAGAAAGAUCAAGUGUCUAAGGCUUGAUCAUGGUGGUGAGUAUUUUCCAAAAAUCUUUGAUGAAUUCUGUGAGGAACAUGGUAUUAUUCAUGAGAGGACGCCUCCCUAUUCGCUUGAGUCCAACAGGGUUGCUGAGAGGAAAAACCACACACUGACUGACUUAGUUAAUUCCAUGUUAGAUACUGCCAGUUUAUCUAAGGUAUGGUAGGGAGACUCUAUUGACUUCAUGUCAUGUCCCGAAUAGAGUUCCGAACAAAGAAUAAAGAUCAAACUUCAUAUAAGAUGUGGAUCGGGAGAAAACCGUCACUUUCUUAUUUGCGUACUUGGGCUGCUUGGCGAAAGUCAAUGUACCCAUUCCGAAGAAGCGCAAGUUAGGACCUAAGACAAUAGAUUGUGUCUUUCUAGGAUAUGCUCAAAGGAGCAUUGCUUAUAGAUUUUUAGUGGUUAAAUCUGAGGUCCCUGAUAUGCAUGUUGAUACUAUUAUGGAAUCUCAUGAUGCAACAUUUUUUCAGAAUAUAUUUCCUCUUAAAGAUAUGCAUAGCAACUCUAGAUUUUCUGCUGAAAUAACUUCUGAACCUACUGCACCUGUUGAGUCUUCUGAACAACCCGAUGAGCAUUAGCAUGAGGACGUCAUAGAGAAGGAUGACAGUGAAGCUCCUAGAAGAAGCAAGAGAUAGAGGGUUGAAAAAUCCUUUGGUGAUGAUUUCACUAUGUACCUUGUGGACAAUACUCCUACGUCCAUCAUUGAGACAUAUGCAUCUUCAGAUGCAGACGAUUGGAAAGAAGUUGUCCAAAGUGAGAUGGAUUCGAUUCUUUCUAAUGGGACAUGGGAGCUCACUGAACGACUCUACGGUUGCAAACCAGUGGGUUGUAAAUGGGUGUUCAAGAAGAAGUUUAGGCCUGAUGGUACUAUUGAAAAGUACAAGGCUAGACUUGUGGCCAAAGGUUACACACAAAAAGAAGGUGAAGACUUCUUCGAUACCUAUUCACCUGAUCGCUAGACUGACCUCUAUUCAAGCACUACUUUCUCUGGCUGCCUCGUAUAGUCUUAUCGUCCACCAGAUGGAUGUAAAGACAGCUUUUCUAAAUGGAGAGUUGGAUGAGGAGAUCUAUAUAGAUCAGCCUGAUGGGUUUGUGGUAAACGGUCAAGGGAGCAAGGUGUGUAAGUUGUUGAAGUCUUUGUAUGGCCUGAAAGAAGCACCUAAGUAAUGGUAUGAUAAUUUUGACAGAACUUUAACUUCUGCGGGCUUUGUCAUUAAUGAGAUUGAUAGAUGUGUGUACCAUCGCCAUGGUGGGGGUGAAGGGUUAUAUUAUGCUUGUAUGUGGAUGACAUACUGAUCUUUGGCACAAACAUUGAUGUGAUUAAUGAGGUCAAGCUGGGAGAAGCUGAUGUUAUUCUGAACAUCAAGCUGAUUAAGUAUGAGAAUAGGAUUACUCUUUUGCAAUCCCAUUAUGUGGAGAAGAUCUUGAACCAUUUUGUUUAUAUAGAUAGCAAGCCUUCUCCAACACCUUAUGAUCCCAGCGUGAUACUCAGAAAGAACAAGAAAACUGCUAAAGACCAACUGAGAUAUUCUCAGAUUGUCGGAUCACUCAUUUACUUAGGUAGUGCAACGAGACCCGACAUAGCUUUUGCUGUGAACAAAUUGAGUAGGUUCAUGUCAAUCCCGGGGUUUGAUCAUUGGCAUGCACUUGAAAGGGUUAUGCGCUACUUGGUGGGUACUAUGAGUUAUGAGAUUCACUAUUCCGGGCACCCUGCUGUGCUUGAGGGAUAUAGUGAUUCGAACUAGAUUUUGGAUGCUGAUGACCUAUAUGGCACGAGUGGGCAUGUGUUUACCCUUGGAGGUGGUGCAAUAUCAUGGAGGUCUUGCAAACAGACCAUUCUGACGAGGUCAACCAUGGAAACAAAACUUACUGCUUUGGAAACAGCCACUGUUGAGGCAGAAUAGCUGCGUGAUCUCUUGAUGGACUUGCCUAUAGUUGAUAAACCAAUACCAGCAAUCCUUAUGAACUGUGACAAUCAAACGGUGAUAGUUAAAGUGAACAGUGCUAAGGAUAACGCAAAAUCAUCAAGAUAUGUCAAGAGACGACUGAAGUCUGGCAGAAAGUUGAGAAACUCCGGAGUAAUAAGUGUGACUUAUAUUCAAACAGAUAAAAAUCUGGCAUAUCUCUUUACAAAAGGGCUAUCACGGAAUGUGAUAGAAUGUACAUGAAGGGAGAUGGAUAUGAGACCCGUUUAAGUUGCCGUAGUGGUAGCCCAACCUAUGUGAUUGGAGAUCACGCGAAUUAGGAUAUGGGAAAAACAAGCUGUCGGUUGACUGAGGAGAGUAAAUUAUUAAACUCUCUCUAUAUAAAAAUACAAUACUCUCAAAUGCUGCAAGGAAGGUUAGCAAUGUGCUUUAAUGUGCUUCUAUUGACUUGAUUAAGCGAAGAUGCUGUCCUACAUAGCAUUCUUGAAAGAACACACAUAUAUGAGCCCGACUGUACAACAUCGCAGUCUAUGAGACUUGGGUGAUCUCUAGUAAUCUCAUGAAGAGACCAAGAAGUAUGACGAAUAUGCUUCACCUGUGGGGUAGGCUACUGGCAGCGAGGUACUAGUUCCAACUCUAAGUGAAACUUGUCCGCACAAAACUUGCAAUUCAAGGCUUAGUCCAUUGUCAAGUUAUGGAUGAAUGUAGCUUGAAGCUCUAGGCGAGAGUUCAACUUAACAGUCCUUGCUGAAACACUAGUAUAUAAACAGCAAGGAGAAACAGGCAAAAUCUCUGAUAGACUUUUGAGAUCUUUUGGGGGAUUGAUGAAAUAAUGGGCUUGUCCCAUUUCAAUUUAAGAAAUUCCAAAUAAAUCUCAAAGGCCCAUGUGGGAAUGAGCAAGUGGUCGGAGUGCUGCAAACCUUUUGUCCCACAUUGCUAGUGGAGGAGAAGGAUGGCCAACAUAAAUAUAAAGGUUGUCUCCACUCCUCCAAGCUAUGUGUGUGGGGAGAAAAGGAAAGCUCCACAUGCACGCGCUCGCUCUCCAUGCCACGCCUCGUCGGGCAGGGUGAAGGGCGCGGGCAUGCGACACCUGCGUGAAUGGUCCACCGAAAUCCGACGUCCAACCUUGCGGUGGCGUGGUUUCCUUGUGCCGUUUUAUUUUUUGUUAGUUGGUCUUUAAGUCAAUGAGAUAUAUGGAAGCCUAAUCGGUUUAGAUCACGAUCGCGACGUGAGAUCGUGGGUUCUCCUCUAUAUACGACCUAUCGUCCUCUACCGAAAAGACAUCUAAUCGAGCUAGGGUUUUGCCUCUUCUCGCUGCUGUGGCGCCACCAUAGUCUACUCCAUCUCGAGCACCGGCGUGCACCAACGAACAAGAGAGUAGGUCUCCGGAACAUCUCGCUCUUGUGAUCCUGCACCGGGAGAGGGCGAAUAACGGUUUUGGAAAACGCUCCGCGCGACUGCUCAAGGUCUUCACCAUGGCUCAUCCUCCGUCCAAAUCAGGCUUUGCGGCGUACAUCGUCUUCAACGUCGUCUGCUGCGCUCCGUCUGCAACAGCGUCGUCAUUUCGUCAGCACCGCUUGUCAUCAGAGCUCACCCGCUAAGUACGUACGCCGUGAUCCAAUCUGUUAUUUCAGCAUGUUUUCUGAGAUCAUGAAGUUGUGCUUGUUGUUGCCUUGUAUGUUAGAGAAUCGCAUGCUAGGUUUUAUUCUUAUUAUGAUAAAUCUAGUUCGGAAAUUAAUCAUGCAGCAGUAGUUUGUUGGCAUUCUUUGUGGUGAACCGCGCCAUGCCAAACGCCUGCAUGUGACAUAGAGGUCGUAUUGAAGAUGUUGUCAGGAACAAAUGGUGAAAACCUUCAGCGAGACAAGAUAUAUAGCAAACUGGGAAGAUUUAUCUAGUACGGUCGAAUUGUAUGAUGAUUUGAUCAGCAAGAAUGGUGAAACUAUACAAGGACAAGAGAGUCCACUACGGAAAAAGGAAGUGUGACUGAGGGAGGGGCCGAAUGCGAGUGCAACCUAUCUGUAUGAAUAUUCAAUUCUGGACCUGAAGAUUGAUAUAAAGUGGCUGCUCUUAGCCGAAGGGAUCAGAUCCUUCUGUCAUACUGUCAUGUGACGAAGCAUCGCCGCGUUGUUGUCGGCACAUUUGCUUUUCCUAUGGACUUCUGUAUUAAUUUAAACUCGAGCUCAAAGACCGACCUGAGCUCUAAAGUUAAGCAGUGACGCAGGAAAAACUCACUUUUUCACACAGCUGAAGGAAAUAGCAUGUGUAUUGCACUCAGACUGCUAACAACAGCAGAACAAAGGUUCACUGUGCUCUCGCUGCUUUUCAGCUUGUCAACAAUAUAUUACAAACAGUAUGCUAACAUCUGCACUUGGUCUGUAUUUGAAUCUUGAAGUGCAGGUAUGUGUUAUUAAUAAGUCUUCUUUUCAAGAUUGUUAUAAAACAGUGGCUGAACAAAAUCUUUUUUCUCUCUUGAGAUAUUUCCAGAUUUUUUUUUCUCUCUUCAUUGCCCCUCACCUUUACUUUCGUCUCAGAUAUGCUUUUGCAGAUCAUAGAAUGUAGCCCCUUGCAUACAUGAGGAGCCAGGAACUGAUCAAGCUCAGGAAGGAAUCUCAAGAUGCAAAGUUCCACACAUGGUCCGCACUGCGAGGACAGAUCUUGAGGAUAAGGGUACAUGUCUAUCCAGAUAUUCUCCAUUGUCGUCUGCUUGUUCCAGAGGUUUGCAUCAUAUACAAGAGAAGAUGUGAAGAUGCAUCGCGGCUUAUCAACGGUGACUGUUCCAUAGCAUCAUUUAAACAGCAUGCUCUUGCUGAUAUGCAAUGCAAGGUUCUGCUGCGUCUUGCUGAUAAGGAUGAUGCGGCUUGUUAAAGGUGGAAGUCUUCAGAGAGAACCAGACAUAGCAAAUUGGGUGUCUGACUGAAGAUUUGUUCACUAAGAAUGGUGUGAAACUGUUCAGAAGCAACGUGAGAAUGCAAAUGGGGCAGAUUCUGGCGCCACGGAUAAGGUCAGAAGAGAGACUGACUGUGGAUGAUGAAAGUCGUCAGAGAUAACAAGACAUUGCAAAAUGGGUGUCUGACUGAAGAUUCAUUCACUAAGAAUGGUGAAACUAUUCAGAAGCAACUUGAGAAUGCAAAUGGGCAGAUUCUGACGCUACGGACAAGGUCAGAAGAGAGAGUGACUGUGUGAGGGGGACUGAUGAGACCGUAGGCUCUCUGUCUGAAGAUGCCAUUCUGUACCUGAAGAACAGGGGCUUGAUACCUCCAAUACAAAGUGGUUGUUCUUAGCCGGAGGAAUCAGAUCCUGCUGUCAUACUGUCAUGUGACGAAGCGUCGCCGUGUUGUUGUCGGCACUUUUGAUUUUUCUAUGGACUUCUGUACUUAACACUCGGACUCAAAAGGUCUGAACUCUCAAGUUAGCAGUGAUGCAGGCCAGCAUUCAGAUUUUCACAGAACUGAAGAACACUACAACUACUAGGUAAUGGAAAUGACAUACAUUGCAUCAGAGGUUUUCAGUGAUUACAAGGUUCAGAAUUCAGACCCUAUAUCAACAAAGCAGAGAAAAAUUUCACUGUUCUCAUUGUUCUAUUUUUGAGCUAUUCAACCAUGUCUUACUAGUAUGUUAACGUGUGUACUUGAUCAGUAUCGGAAUCUGUAAGUGCAUACAUAUACUCUCAAGAUUGUAUGAUUAUAAAUUGUGACUGAACAAUUUAUUUCUACCCUAAAGAAAAUCCACAAAUAUACGUUUGUGUAUAGUCCUAUCCUCAUUUGAAAAGAUCCAUUUGUUUUUUCAGAUUUUAGCAUUGGAAUUUCGGCAUGAGGUCAACUCGUGUUAUGAGGAAAGAUUCUAGUGCUCCAAGGCCCUCAUGCAUGAACACACACACGGAUUCUUAUCCAAAACUAGCUAUCCAAUCUUUAACUUGCCUGCACUCUACCAGAAGAAUCAUUUUUCAGUUACACAUGAACCAAAUCUAGCUAUAUAUGUUCCAUAUGCACAUAAAAGAAUAUAACAUGCUUAGAAAAUGCUAUGAUCUCAUUAGCAAAAAAAAAUGAAAAUGCUAUGAUAUGGUUGUUAAGAAUCUUACAAUAAUCCACUGCAGAUAGGCACACAUACUGACAUCUUUUUCUAGCCUAUAAAAGGAAGCCAUGGCCAGCACCAAGAAACCAGACCAGUCAACUUUUGCAGACCAUCUACAACUCUAAAGAGGGACGAGUCUAGAACCUUCCGGGGCACCAGACCAUUGAAGUGAUGGACCGCGUUGCGAGGCUGGUGUCGGAGCGGGCGGUGGUGGUGUUCACGGCGAGCAACUGCAGCAUGUGCGACGUCGUGACGUCGCUGCUGGGCAGCCUGGGCGUGAACGCUGCCGUGCACGAUCUGGACAGGGACCCCCGGGGCCGGGAGAUGGAGCGGGAGCUCGCCAGGAG
Molecule: long non-coding RNA, 38406 nt
Filed under: Setaria italica (foxtail millet)
Lineage: Eukaryota; Viridiplantae; Streptophyta; Magnoliopsida; Poales; Poaceae
Description: long non-coding RNA (SITA_LNC006244)
Source: RNAcentral